UGCAAGUCGAGCGGUAGAGGGGUGCUUGCACUCCUUGAGAGCGGCGGACGGGUGAGUAAUGCCUAGGAAUCUGCCUGGUAGUGGGGGAUAACGUUCGGAAACGGACGCUAAUACCGCAUACGUCCUACGGGAGAAAGCAGGGGACCUUCGGGCCUUGCGCUAUCAGAUGAGCCUAGGUCGGAUUAGCUAGUUGGUGAGGUAAUGGCUCACCAAGGCGACGAUCCGUAACUGGUCUGAGAGGAUGAUCAGUCACACUGGAACUGAGACACGGUCCAGACUCCUACGGGAGGCAGCAGUGGGGAAUAUUGGACAAUGGGCGCAAGCCUGAUCCAGCCAUGCCGCGUGUGUGAAGAAGGUCUUCGGAUUGUAAAGCACUUUAAGUUGGGAGGAAGGGUUGUAGAUUAAUACUCUGCAAUUUUGACGUUACCGACAGAAUAAGCACCGGCUAACUCUGUGCCAGCAGCCGCGGUAAUACAGAGGGUGCAAGCGUUAAUCGGAAUUACUGGGCGUAAAGCGCGCGUAGGUGGUUAUGUAAGUUGAAUGUGAAAUCCCCGGGCUCAACCUGGGAACUGCAUCCAAAACUGCAUGGCUAGAGUACGGUAGAGGGUGGUGGAAUUUCCUGUGUAGCGGUGAAAUGCGUAGAUAUAGGAAGGAACACCAGUGGCGAAGGCGACCACCUGGACUGAUACUGACACUGAGGUGCGAAAGCGUGGGGAGCAAACAGGAUUAGAUACCCUGGUAGUCCACGCCGUAAACGAUGUCAACUAGCCGUUGGGUUCCUUGAGAACUUAGUGGCGCAGCUAACGCAUUAAGUUGACCGCCUGGGGAGUAC
This 832-nucleotide ribosomal RNA is filed under the name uncultured bacterium. RNAcentral's name for it is "bacterial SSU rRNA". It matches the Rfam family "Bacterial small subunit ribosomal RNA", at positions 56 to 883 of the family's 1533-position model. The record is from RNAcentral.